This 450-nucleotide ribosomal RNA is filed under the name uncultured bacterium. Its description in RNAcentral is "bacterial SSU rRNA". It matches the Rfam family "Bacterial small subunit ribosomal RNA", at positions 328 to 794 of the family's 1533-position model. The record is from RNAcentral.
GUUCCAGACUCCUACGGGAGGCAGCAGUGGGGAAUAUUGCACAAUGGGGGAAACCCUGAUGCAGCGACGCCGCGUGAGUGAAGAAGUCUUUCGGUAUGUAAAGCUCUAUCAGCAGGGAAGAAAAUGACGGUACCUGACUAAGAAGCCCCGGCUAACUACGUGCCAGCAGCCGCGGUAAUACGUAGGGGGCAAGCGUUAUCCGGAUUUACUGGGUGUAAAGGGAGCGUAGACGGCAUGGCAAGUCAGAUGUGAAAGCCCGGUGCUCAACCCCGGGACUGCAUUUGAAACUGUCAGGCUGGAGUGCAGGAGAGGUAAGUGGAAUUCCUAGUGUAGCGGUGAAAUGCGUAGAUAUUAGGAGGAACACCAGUGGCGAAGGCGGCGUACUGGACUGUAACUGACGUUGAGGCUCGAAAGCGUGGGGAGCAAACAGGAUUAGAUACCCCGGUAUGA